This 1235-nucleotide ribosomal RNA is filed under the name metagenome. RNAcentral's name for it is "bacterial LSU rRNA". It matches the Rfam family "Bacterial large subunit ribosomal RNA", at positions 1564 to 2808 of the family's 2925-position model. The record is from RNAcentral.
UGAGUACGAGAUGCUACGGCAUCGAAGCAGUCUAUGUCAUACUUCCAAGAAAAGCUUGCACUGUCAUAAACAAAGAAUGCCUGUACCAUAACCGACACAGGUGGGUAGGUAGAGUAUACUAAGGGGCGCGAGAUAACUCUCUCUAAGGAACUCGGCAAAAUGACUCCGUAACUUCGGGAGAAGGAGUGCCUUAUUUCUAAGGUUGCAAUAACAAGAUCCAAGCAACUGUUUACCAAAAACACAGGUCUCCGCUAAGUCGUAAGACGAUGUAUGGGGGCUGACGCCUGCCCAGUGCCAGAAGGUUAAAGAAGUUGGUUAGCAUUAGCGAAGCUGAUAACUGAAGCCCUGGUGAACGGCGGCCGUAACUAUAACGGUCCUAAGGUAGCGAAAUUCCUUGUCGGGUAAGUUCCGACCCGCACGAAAGGCGUAAUGAUUUGGAUACUGUCUCGGAGAGGGGCUCGGUGAAAUAGACUUGUCUGUGAAGAUGCGGGCUACCUGCACCUGGACAGAAAGACCCUAUGAAGCUUUACUGUAACUUGAGAUUGAAAUUGGACUUUAUUUGCGCAGUAUAGGUGGGAGGCGUUGAGAAUAAUCUUGCGGGAUUGUUGGAGCCAUCAGUGAGAUACCACUCUUGUAAUGUUAGAUUUCUAACUUUGUAUCAUUAUCUGGUCAAAGAACAGUUUCAGGCGGGCAGUUUGACUGGGGCGGUCGCCUCCCAAAGGGUAACGGAGGCGCACAAAGGUUUCCUCUGAACGGGUAGAAAUCGUAUCUAGAGUGUAAAGGCAUAAGGAAGCUUGACUGUGAGACCUACAAGUCGAGCAGGGACGAAAGUCGGUCUUAGUGAUCUGACGGUGCUGAGUGGAAAGGCCGUCACUCAACGGAUAAAAGUUACUCUAAGGAUAACAGGCUGAUCUCCCCCAAGAGUUCACAUCGACGGGGAGGUUUGGCACCUCGAUGUCGGCUCAUCGCAUCCUGGGGCGGUAGUCCGUCCCAAGGGUUGGGCUGUUCGCCCAUGAAAGCGGUACGCGAGCUGGGUUCAGAACGUCGUGAGACAGUUCGGUCCAUAUCCGGUGUAGGCGUUAGAAUAUUGAGAGGAGCCUUCUCUAGUACGAGAGGACCGAGAAGGACAUACCUCUGGUGUACCAGUUAUCGUGCCAACGGUAAACGCUGGGUAGCUAUGUAUGGAGUGGAUAACCGCUGAAAGCAUCUAAGUGGGAAGCCCACCUCAAGAUAAG